GACGAACGCUGGCGGCGUGCCUAACACAUGCAAGUCGAACGGGGUAAUUUCUUCGGAGAUUACUUAGUGGCGAACGGGUGAGUAACGCGUGAGAAACCUGCCUUUCAGUGGGGGACAACAGUUGGAAACGACUGCUAAUACCGCAUAACACUUUAGUACCGCAUGGUACAGAAGUCAAAGCUUAAUGUGCUGAAAGAUGGUCUCGCGUCUGAUUAGCUAGAUGGCGGGGUAACGGCCCACCAUGGCGACGAUCAGUAGCCGGUCUGAGAGGAUGAACGGCCACAUUGGGACUGAGAUACGGCCCAG
Molecule: ribosomal RNA, 306 nt
Filed under: uncultured bacterium
Lineage: Bacteria
Description: bacterial SSU rRNA
Rfam family: Bacterial small subunit ribosomal RNA
Source: RNAcentral